This 582-nucleotide long non-coding RNA is filed under the name Struthio camelus australis. RNAcentral describes it as "lncRNA (ENSSCUG00000000813.1)". Lineage: Eukaryota; Metazoa; Chordata; Aves; Struthioniformes; Struthionidae. The record is from RNAcentral.
GGGUCAAGCACUUCAGGAAAAGACUCUAUGGGACAGGAAAAAAAUAAUUCAUGUUGCCCUGAAAAACUAGAAAAUGCCAAAGAAAUAUCACUUCUGUGUUGCUGUCUUUGGUAGAGGACCUGAGAAUGCAAGAAAUUAAUGCCAGGGACCGUAACAUUGCUGAGGACCUCCUCAGAGCUGGAGGUGGGAUUCAGAACGCUCAGCCUGCUUGGCUCACUCUGGUUUUGCACAGUGGAAAAGAAGAGACAGUUCUGCAUAUUUCUCAGCACUGAUAUGAGUUACAGGAAGAUGUUCGCUUGUGUUUGGCGUGAGGCUCACAGCUUCAAAAACCUCCCAGCAGCCACACGAGAAGAGUUCAUCCAGGCAAGGUGUGUGUGCAGUGAGACCCUAUAUUACCCUAUGGAUCUCAACAUGGCUAUGAAGGUGAAAGAAAAUGGAUCCCCUGAAGACUUUUCUGCCUCAAAACCACAGAUGAUGCAAAAUGAAGCAGAGAGCGAGGUUGAGAACAACUAUGCAAAUGAGAACAGCAAAAUCAAACAGAUGAAAACCACACAGGGCCUUACACAGCCCAGAAGUAAUUGA